AAGACUUUGAUUUUAGGGAUCAUUUCUAUAGUUCUUGGCUUGAGAAAUGUUUUUCUAAAGUGUUCAGUCUUGCUGUCCAUGAUGAAGAAGUGAUAUUCCUUUCUGAGUGGGAAGCUGAUUGAGAGUAAUGAUUCAAUUCAUAUGCUUUCUGUCAUUGAUGAUCAUGCUUUUUUUCUUUCUGGAGCAUUGAUAAAGGGAGUAUGAUUGGAGUGGU
Molecule: small nucleolar RNA, 214 nt
Organism: Perca fluviatilis (European perch)
Lineage: Eukaryota; Metazoa; Chordata; Actinopteri; Perciformes; Percidae
Product: small nucleolar RNA U3
Exons: 1
Source: RefSeq, a predicted model, not a curated record